GACGAACCGAGCGAACGUUGUUCGGAAUGACUGGGCGUAAAGGGCGCGUAGGCGGUUUGUACAGUCAGAUGUGAAAUUCCCGGGCUCAACCUGGGGGCUGCAUUUGAUACGUGCGGACUUGAGUGGGGAAGAGGGUCGUGGAAUUCCCAGUGUAGAGGUGAAAUUCGUAGAUAUUGGGAAGAACACCGGUGGCGAAGGCGGCGACCUGGUCCUUGACUGACGCUGAGGCGCGAAAGCGUGGGGAGCAAACAGG
This 253-nucleotide ribosomal RNA is filed under the name uncultured bacterium. RNAcentral describes it as "partial 16S ribosomal RNA". It matches the Rfam family "Bacterial small subunit ribosomal RNA", at positions 524 to 776 of the family's 1533-position model. The record is from RNAcentral.